CUACGGGGGGCUCCAGUGGGGAAUAUUGGGCAAUGGGCGCAAGCCUGACCCAGCAACGCCGCGUGAGGGAAGAAGGUUUUCGGAUUGUAAACCUCUGUCCUUGGGGACGAAGAAGUGACGGUACCCAAGGAGGAAGCUCCGGCUAACUACGUGCCAGCAGCCGCGGUAAUACGUAGGGAGCAAGCGUUGUCCGGAAUUACUGGGCGUAAAGGGUGCGUAGGUGGCAUAUUAAGUCAGGUGUGAAAUACUCGGGCUCAACCCGGGGGCUGCAUUUGAAACUGAUAUGCUUGAGUGUGAGAGAGGAAAGUGGAAUUCCUAGUGUAGCGGUGGAAUGCGUAGAUAUUAGGAGGAACACCAGUGGCGAAGGCGACUUUCUGGCUCAUAACUGACGCUGAGGCACUAAAGCGUGGGGAGCAAACAGGAUUAGAUACCCCUGUAGUC
Molecule: ribosomal RNA, 441 nt
Filed under: uncultured bacterium
Lineage: Bacteria
Description: partial 16S ribosomal RNA
Rfam family: Bacterial small subunit ribosomal RNA
Source: RNAcentral